AAUUAAUAGAAAAGCCAUUCAGGAAGUUAUAGUGAAAAAAGAAAUGAAAUUCAGUUUUUUAAGUUAUGGCAUUCAAUCAGACGUUACACAACGCUGGAAUGAAUUUCAAUCCGAAGUAAGUGAUUUUUAUAACAUAUAUUUUUAUAUUUGAUACAACGUAGGCAACUAUCUACCUUCACAUUAUUAUAUAUAUAUGGUGGUUCAAUGUAAACGUAAAAGAUAAAAGUUAAAGAGCAUAGGUACAACUAGGAUGUAUACUAGUUAUUUUUUAUCACUCCCAAGUUUGAAAUUAGCGCCCCCUAAAAUUUGUUAUAGUAUCGAGUAAAUAUUUUAUCCAUAACAUAUUUCAUAAUUAAUAAGCAGAACAAAAUACAGAUUACCUACAAACAAUGCACGAUUUAUUGAUGAUAAAUAUAUAUAAUAGACAUUUUAAUUUUGAGA
Non-coding RNA from Cinara cedri, 441 nucleotides. The record is from the annotation of a GenBank genome assembly. NCBI's taxonomy places the organism in Eukaryota, Metazoa, Arthropoda, Insecta, Hemiptera, Aphididae.